Molecule: long non-coding RNA, 1457 nt
Organism: Vidua chalybeata
Lineage: Eukaryota; Metazoa; Chordata; Aves; Passeriformes; Viduidae
Exons: 2
Source: RefSeq, a predicted model, not a curated record
ACACAGCCACAGCAUUUUGUGCUGACCAUAAGUAAUGCCUCAGUGCAUUUGAUAUUCCCUAGCAUCGCAUUAGGAUUAAAUCAUGAUGGACCCACUUUCGAUCCUUCUGAACAUAGAGAAUGGGCCCGUCAAAUUGAUGACAAAUGGCAAACUGUCAAUUUAGAGUCCUGUACUAUCCGAGAACAACUAGGGUUUAUCUGUGAAGGUAACGCAAUUAUAGCUCAAGAUAUCUGUUUAGACACAGAACAAAAUAGCUGUCAUUUUGAUAUUCAUCCUAACGAGACUUCUGAAACAGUCCUUGUAUCUACAGGCAAUGGGCGUGCCUGCUUCAGAACCGCUUGUGAUACUGUGUUUAUAGAAAGUACAGUAGUAGCUACUAAAAAUCAUUCAAAUUAUUGUGCUUGCAACUUUACUAAAAUUGCAGGAUGUGAUUUUUCUUUUGUAGCUCCAGUUACCUUACAUGAACUUUUAGAAUCCAAUCUCAUGUUGAUUCACAAGCUACUGCCUACUCCCAUUGGGAUGAACCUUACUUUGGUAAAGCAACCAUUACUUCAUCAAGAUCUAAUAGAGAUCCUAGGAAAAAUCAAGGAGAAUGGACAGAGAACUCUGUCCUGAAGACUCCACGACGACACCAUGGAACCCUGCUGAUGAAGAUCUUUCGAGGGCAAUCGUCAGUCACGGGGUGGUGUAAGAGCCCGUCUGAAGCCCCUCAUUUUCCGUUCUGCCUUCCGAUUGCCACGAGAAAGAAUCCCUUCCUCCACUGCAGUUCCGGCUUAGAACAGGACACAGUGCAGGUGCAACCACUGAACCGUCAUGCUAGCUGUUCCGAACAAGGCCUGGCAAGAACUCGGCAAGGACUUGGCAAAGACCUGACGUGGACCCAGCACGGGACAGCCUGAUGCGCGGCCUGCUUCUAAUCUCCGUUCUUAAGCCAAAUGAACUUUUGGGGUGACUCCCGGGGUCCUUCAUUGAAGACCCCUCAUCUGCCUCGUUACCACUGUGACAAACAAAGAAUGAGAACCCUCCUCCCAAGGACUGAGACUGAGACCCCUGCUACAGGGAGGAGGGGAAAUUGGUGGUCUGACCACUAAUGACAUGACCUGUUUCCCUUCAGUGAUUCAAAUGGACUCAUUCUUCAUUGGAUUCGUCUUGCUUUGGUGGUUUCUGUGGACUCAGCUGUUCCCGCGUGGCGAUUACAAUGGACUUUCGUUGUUCCACUUGCUCCCCCCUCUUUCCUCUGUGGACUAUAACUGGAGCCCCGAGUCGACCAGAACUACGGAGACUCCCCCGACACGACAGACGGAUCCCCAUCGUCCGGACCACUGAGGAUCUCGCCUGUGUUGGUAGCUAUUCCCAUACCCCUCUUCUCUCUCUCUCUCUCCUUUUAUCUCCUUUCCGAUCCCCACUAUCGCAUUUACUGGUUUGGCCCCUAAUAAAGGUGCAUUUGUUGUGAUUAA